AUUGAACGCUGGCGGCAUGCCUAACACAUGCAAGUCGAACGGAAACGAUGGGAGCUUGCUCCCAGGCGUCGAGUGGCGGACGGGUGAGUAAUGCGUAGGAAUCUGCCCUGUAGUGAGGAAUAACCUUGGGAAACCAAGACUAAUACCGCAUACCUUCUACGGAAGAAAGCUGGGGACCUUCGGGCCUGGCGCUACAGGAUGAGCCUACGUCCGAUUAGCUAGUUGGCGGGGUAACGGCCCACCAAGGCGACGAUCGGUAGCUGGUCUGAGAGGAUGACCAGCCACACUGGGACUGAGACACGGGCCCAGACUCCUACGGGGAGGCAGCAGUGGGGAAUAUUGGACAAUGGGCGCAAGCCUGAUCCAGCAAUGCCGCGUGUGUGAAGAAGGCCUGCGGGUUGUAAAGCACUUUCAGUGGGGAGGAAAAGCUUACGGGGAAUAUCCGUGAGUCUUGACGUUACCACAGAAGAAGCACCGGCUAACUCCGUGCCAGCCGCC
This 498-nucleotide ribosomal RNA is filed under the name uncultured bacterium. Its description in RNAcentral is "bacterial SSU rRNA". It matches the Rfam family "Bacterial small subunit ribosomal RNA", at positions 29 to 516 of the family's 1533-position model. The record is from RNAcentral.